Molecule: ribosomal RNA, 301 nt
Filed under: uncultured bacterium
Lineage: Bacteria
Description: partial 16S ribosomal RNA
Rfam family: Bacterial small subunit ribosomal RNA
Source: RNAcentral
CAGUCGCCGCGGUAAUACAGAGGGUGCGAGCGUUAAUCGGAUUUACUGGGCGUAAAGCGUGCGUAGGCGGCUUCUUAAGUCGGAUGUGAAAUCCCCGGGCUUAACCUGGGAACUGCAUUUGAAAUUGUCAGGCUGGAGUCUUGUAGAGGGGGGUAGAAUUCCAGGUGUAGCGGUGAAAUGCGUAGAGAUCUGGAGGAAUACCGGUGGCGAAGGCGGCCCCCUGGACAAAGACUGACGCUCAGGUGCGAAAGCGUGGGGAGCAAACAGGAUUAGAUACCUUAGUAGUCCCUGUCUCUUAUAC